Molecule: ribosomal RNA, 712 nt
Filed under: Pseudacrobeles sp. CR-2010
Lineage: Eukaryota; Metazoa; Nematoda; Chromadorea; Rhabditida; Cephalobidae
Description: eukaryotic LSU rRNA
Rfam family: Eukaryotic large subunit ribosomal RNA
Source: RNAcentral
GAAAGUUGAAAAGUACUUUGAAGAGAGAGUUCAAGAGGACGUGAAACCGGUAGGAUGGAAACGGAUAGAGCCAACGAACUAGCUCGUAUUCAGCUAGUCGGCUGCGUGCAGUCUUUCUAGGCGCUUGAUAAGGUGUCUGGGAGGAUGUGGUAUGCGGUCGGCUAGUGCAUUUGCGAGUAAUGUGCGCCGAGGCGGGUGGCAUUCGUUCGGCAAACUGUCGGGAGAGGCUUCGUCUUUACGGACUUAGAACCUACCGGCAGGGAGUCGAGUCGGAGCUGCACGUAGCACAAUGAGUUAGGUACAGACGCGCUGCUGCUAUAUCGGGCUAGUCCUAUGGUCGGUCGCAUGCGACUUGGCUAUUGUGGCUGGUCUUGGUGUGGUAGUAGUGCCCUGACUCGUCCUCGGUGUAAAAGUUGGUCAUCUCUCCGACCCGUCUUGAAACACGGACCAAGGAGUCUAGCGUAUACGCGAGUCAUUGAGUGUAGAAAACUCAUAGGCGAAAUGAAAGUGAAGGUCUUCGUUCGGAGGCUUAUAUGUGAUCCGUUGCGUUUCGGCGCAGCGGAGCAGCAUAGCCCAAUCUCGACUGCUUGCAGUGGGGUUGCGGAAGAGCGUACGCGCUGGUACCCGAAAGAUGGUGAACUAUGCCUGAGCAGGAUGAAGCCAGAGGAAACUCUGGUGGAGGUCCGAAGCGCUUCUGACGUGCAAAUCGAUC